GGAGAGGUGCGUGAGUGGUUGAAACGGCAUGCCUGGAGAGCAUGUGUGGGGGAUAACUCCACCGGGGGUUCGAAUCCCCCCCUCUCCGCCA
RNAcentral lists this transfer RNA (91 nucleotides) under bacterium. RNAcentral describes it as "tRNA-Ser". It matches the Rfam family "tRNA". Rfam says of the family: Transfer RNA (tRNA) molecules are approximately 80 nucleotides in length. Their secondary structure includes four short double-helical elements and three loops (D, anti-codon, and T loops). The record is from RNAcentral.